UGAGGAAUAUUGGUCAAUGGGUGCAAGCCUGAACCAGCCAUCCCGCGUGAAGGACGACUGCCCUAUGGGUUGUAAACUUCUUUUGUAUAGGGAUAAACCUACCCUCGUGAGGGUAGCUGAAGGUACUAUACGAAUAAGCACCGGCUAACUCCGUGCCAGCAGCCGCGGUAAUACGGAGGGUGCAAGCGUUAUCCGGAUUUAUUGGGUUUAAAGGGUCCGUAGGCGGACUUAUAAGUCAGUGGUGAAAGCCUGUCGCUUAACGAUAGAACUGCCAUUGAUACUGUAAGUCUUGAGUAUAUUUGAGGUAGCUGGAAUAAGUAGUGUAGCGGUGAAAUGCAUAGAUAUUACUUAGAACACCAAUUGCGAAGGCAGGUUACCAAGAUAUAACUGACGCUGAGGGACGAAAGCGUGGGGAGCGAAC
This 421-nucleotide ribosomal RNA is filed under the name uncultured bacterium. RNAcentral's name for it is "bacterial SSU rRNA". It matches the Rfam family "Bacterial small subunit ribosomal RNA", at positions 355 to 773 of the family's 1533-position model. The record is from RNAcentral.